Molecule: unclassified non-coding RNA, 263 nt
Filed under: Glomus sp.
Lineage: Eukaryota; Fungi; Glomeromycota; Glomeromycetes; Glomerales; Glomeraceae
Description: partial contains 5.8S ribosomal RNA and internal transcribed spacer 2
Rfam family: 5.8S ribosomal RNA (bases 1-65)
Source: RNAcentral
GUGAAUCAUCGAAUUUUUGAACGCAAAUUGCACUCUCUUCGGAGAGUAUGCCUGGUUGAGGGUCAGCCUAAAAAAAAAAAUCGACAUAGUCGCUGUUUCGCGGUGACAUUCGUCGGAAAUUUUUUCAUCUUAAACCUUUGGGUUUUAAUUGGUUUAAAAUUUUCUUUACGUUUCCACGCACGUUUCUAAGAUUUAUUUCUUUUACUUUUAAGUUAUCGAUCUUUAUUAGACGUGGCCGUUGCAUCGGAUCGCGUCCAUAAAUA